ACGAACGCUGGCGGCGUGCUUAACACAUGCAAGUCGAACGGAAAGGCCCUGCUUUUGUGGGGUGCUCGAGUGGCGAACGGGUGAGUAACACGUGAGUAACCUGCCCUUGACUUUGGGAUAACUUCAGGAAACUGGGGCUAAUACCGGAUAGGAGCUCCUGCUGCAUGGUGGGGGUUGGAAAGUUUCGGCGGUUGGGGAUGGACUCGCGGCUUAUCAGCUUGUUGGUGGGGUAGUGGCUUACCAAGGCUUUGACGGGUAGCCGGCCUGAGAGGGUGACCGGCCACAUUGGGACUGAGAUACGGCCCAGACUCCUACGGGAGGCAGCAGUGGGGAAUAUUGCACAAUGGGCGGAAGCCUGAUGCAGCAACGCCGCGUGCGGGAUGACGGCCUUCGGGUUGUAAACCGCUUUCGCCUGUGACGAAGCGUGAGUGACGGUAAUGGGUAAAGAAGCACCGGCUAACUACGUGCCAGCAGCCGCGGUGAUACGUAGGGUGCGAGCGUUGUCCGGAUUUAUUGGGCGUAAAGGGCUCGUAGGUGGUUGAUCGCGUCGGAAGUGUAAUCUUGGGGCUUAACCCUGAGCGUGCUUUCGAUACGGGUUGACUUGAGGAAGGUAGGGGAGAAUGGAAUUCCUGGUGGAGCGGUGGAAUGCGCAGAUAUCAGGAGGAACACCAGUGGCGAAGGCGGUUCUCUGGGCCUUUCCUGACGCUGAGGAGCGAAAGCGUGGGGAGCGAACAGGCUUAGAUACCCUGGUAGUCCACGCUGUAAACGGUGGGUACUAGGUGUGGGGUCCAUUCCACGGGUUCCGUGCCGUAGCUAACGCUUUAAGUACCCCGCGUGGGGAGUACGGCCGCAAGGCUAAAACUCAAAGGAAUUGACGGGGCCCCGCACAAGCGGCGGAGCAUGCGGAUUAAUUCGAUGCAACGCGUAGAACCUUACCUGGGUUUGACAUGGAUCGGGAGUGCUCAGAGAUGGGUGUGCCUCUUUUGGGGUCGGUUCACAGGUGGUGCAUGGCUGUCGUCAGCUCGUGUCGUGAGAUGUUGGGUUAAGUCCCGCAACGAGCGCAACCCUUGUUCACUGUUGCCAGCACGUUAUGGUGGGGACUCAGUGGAGACCGCCGGGGUCAACUCGGAGGAAGGUGGGGAUGACGUCAAGUCACCAUGCCCCUUAUGUCCAGGGCUUCACGCAUGCUACAAUGGCUGGUACAGAGAGUGGCGAGCCUGUGAGGGUGAGCGAAUCUCGGAAAGCCGGUCUCAGUUCGGAUUGGGGUCUGCAACUCGACCUCAUGAAGUCGGAGUCGCUAGUAAUCGCAGAUCAGCAACGCUGCGGUGAAUACGUUUCCGGGGCUUGUACACACCGCCCGUCAAGUCAUGAAAGUUGGUAACACCCGAAGCCGGUGGCCUAACCGUUGUGGGGGAGCCGUCGAAGGUGGGAC
Molecule: ribosomal RNA, 1432 nt
Filed under: uncultured organism
Description: 16S ribosomal RNA
Rfam family: Bacterial small subunit ribosomal RNA
Source: RNAcentral